This 441-nucleotide ribosomal RNA is filed under the name uncultured bacterium. RNAcentral describes it as "partial 16S ribosomal RNA". It matches the Rfam family "Bacterial small subunit ribosomal RNA", at positions 338 to 795 of the family's 1533-position model. The record is from RNAcentral.
CCUACUGGAGGCAGCAGUGGGGAAUAUUGCACAAUGGGGGAAACCCUGAUGCAGCAACGCCGCGUGAAGGAAGACGGUUUUCGGAUUGGAAACUUCUGUUCUUAGUGAAGAAUAAUGACGGUAGCUAAGGAGCAAGCCACGGCUCACUACGUGCCAGCAGCCGCGGUACUACGUAGGUGGCAAGCGUUGUCCGGAAUUACUGGGGGUAAAGGGAGUGCAGGGGGGAAGCCAAGUCAGCUGUGAAAAGUACGGGCUUAACUUGUAGACUGCAGUUGAAACUGGUUGUCUUGAGUGAAGUAGAGGUUGGCGGAAUUCCGAGUGUAGCGGUGAAAUGCGUAGAUAUCAGGAGGAACACCGGUGGCGAAGGCGGCCUGCUGGACUGCGACUGACGUUGAGGCCCGAAAGCGUGGGGAGCAAACAGGAUUAGAUACCCUAGUAGUC